RNAcentral lists this ribosomal RNA (301 nucleotides) under uncultured bacterium. Its description in RNAcentral is "partial 16S ribosomal RNA". It matches the Rfam family "Bacterial small subunit ribosomal RNA", at positions 509 to 807 of the family's 1533-position model. The record is from RNAcentral.
CAGUCGCCACGGUAAUACGUAGGGUGCGAGCGUUAAUCGGAAUUACUGGGCGUAAAGCGUGCGCAGGCGGUUUUGUAAGACAGAGGUGAAAUCCCCGGGCUCAACCUGGGAACUGCCUUUGUGACUGCAAGGCUAGAGUACGGCAGAGGGGGAUGGAAUUCCGCGUGUAGCAGUGAAAUGCGUAGAUAUGCGGAGGAACACCGAUGGCGAAGGCAAUCCCCUGGGCCUGUACUGACGCUCAUGCACGAAAGCGUGGGGAGCAAACAGGAUUAGAUACCCCUGUAGUCCCUGUCUCUUAUAC